Aedes albopictus (Asian tiger mosquito) is the source of this 1709-nucleotide long non-coding RNA. RefSeq lists it as uncharacterized. NCBI's taxonomy places the organism in Eukaryota, Metazoa, Arthropoda, Insecta, Diptera, Culicidae. The record is from RefSeq and is a predicted model, not a curated record. The transcript has 2 exons.
CGCAUAGAGAAAUACAAUCUGCCAUACAUUCCAAACAGUAAACAUGUUUUAAAUAGUAUGGUGGAUGUAUCACAGAUUGUUGUUCUUAGGUUAAACAAUAUGAAACUAAAAGCCAGACACCAUAAAUAACAGAUAAGAUAACCUAUACCAAGCAUUAACAAUAUACCAUAGUGUGCAUACAUUGUCAAAUGAUAUGCAAAUGUGAGCUCGAAUUAAACGGUGGCAAUAUGAAAUCACAUUAUAUCAUACGGUUGGUUCUUAUGCUUGCGCAGCACACUCACACCAGAACAUUUCACUAUACAUUACUUUUGUUAAACAGUAUGGCAAAGAGUUGCACGUGUCUGUAAUUGUGAUCGACUUUAUUGAACAUGCAUCGUGGUUGUUUCUUUAUUUCUCGUCAAAUGUUUCACAAAGGUCUGUUAUCUAAAAAUCGCAAACUUAAUGAAAAUUGUACACGAGUAUUACUUUUUCUCUUUUCAAUUGUAUUUAUUAAUUGUAUUAUUAAUUGUUUAUAUAUAUAUAUAUAUAUAUUAUCUCUUUCCAAUUGUAUAUUUUUAUUUAUUUUUGCAAAAUAACUUUAACACUUGUAAUUGCAAAGCCAAAUAUUUUUACAAUAUUGUUUUCUAUUCGUAAGCUCUAUAAUAGUUUAAUUCAGUUGAUUGCAGCUUAACUUUGAAUGAAAAUUAAAAAAAAAUCAAGAUUUUGAUUACAUUGAGCGUAUUAUAAGUUAGGACCUUCUCAAAUGUUACGCGAGAUUCGAAUAACAACAGUGAAAAUAAAUAACCAUCGUCGCGGAAAAACGUAAAUCCGAGAAACAAAUUUCACUAGUCCACUAAUAAAAUAACGAUGCAGCUUCCACCUAGAAGGAACCUCGGAAGGAACAGGAUCUUAUUGUCGCAGAAAAUCGUCGGAAGAUCGGUGCCGAAUAGGCCGAGAAUAGGCAAACUGACCUGAUUCGAAUCAGAUCCGACAACAUCCGUGACUACUUGGAACAGCGUUAUGAGGAGGUAAGGUUUUUCUCCAAACAUUUCAUUAUUUGUUCAAAUUUUGAUGUUUUCAUCCUAUUUGUAGGAAUUGCUCACAGGCCGGAUAACCCGCUCGGAUUUGGUCAACCGAUUGUAGCAUCUAGGCUACUCUCACUGCAACGACGGUGCCAGCAAAAGAGGAAGAGCCAUCAGAGGAUAGUUCAGACGACCGCGAGGAAGAAUCCAGGUCAGCACCAGCGAAAUCUACAGCUGUAUCGAAGAAGUUCCACCAGUGAAACCUUGGUGAAUCUCCAAGUGUCCUGCUCUAAUUAACCGUUGCUGUCGCGGCUGCCAGCAACCAGCUUCAGCCAAGAAGAAAGACAAGUGGAGAUUCUAGUGAGGCGAAAUAAGUAAAACCACCGGCAAAAUGAAGACAUUCUUCAAAGAAAAAUCUGGAAUCGUCCGACAUAGAUUCUUCGGAUUCCGACGCGAAGAGGAACCAGCCGACAAGAGGAAAAUAUGGCAAGGACUGAUAAGUGUCGGUUCAACAACUAUGCCGGUGUUCAGACGUGCGGUCAAUGAACGUAUGGUUUUAAGGUUUUAAGAACUCACCGGCUCGCGUACAAAAUGCUCUUGGAAACGCCAAACUCCAACGCCGAACAACAUGGAGAUGCCGAUGGUGCAAGUGAAGCUGGAUAAACUACUAAAUAACUAAUAAAACGACUAAUUAGAUGAGCAUCCAAA